Molecule: ribosomal RNA, 253 nt
Filed under: uncultured bacterium
Lineage: Bacteria
Description: partial 16S ribosomal RNA
Rfam family: Bacterial small subunit ribosomal RNA
Source: RNAcentral
UACGAAGGGGGCUAGCGUUUUUCGGAAUUACUGGGCGUAAAGCGCACGUAGGCGGCUCUGUAAGUUGGGGGUGAAAUCCCGAGGCUCAACCUCGGAAUUGCCUUCAAGACUGCAGGGCUUGAGUUCGGGGGAGGUGAGUGGAAUUCCCAGUGUAGAGGUGAAAUUCGUAGAGAUUGGGAAGAACACCAGUGGCGAAGGCGGCUCACUGGCCCGUAACUGACGCUGGGGUGCGAAAGCGUGGGGAGCAAACAGG